ACGUAUCCAACCUACCCUUUACUCGGGGAUAGCCUUUCGAAAGAAAGAUUAAUACCCGAUAGCAUAAUGAUUCCGCAUGGUUUCAUUAUUAAAGGAUUCCGGUAAAGGAUGGGGAUGCGUUCCAUUAGGUUGUUGGUGGGGUAACGGCCCACCAAGCCUUCGAUGGAUAGGGGUUCUGAGAGGAAGGUCCCCCACAUUGGAACUGAGACACGGUCCAAACUCCUACGGGAGGCAGCAUG
RNAcentral lists this ribosomal RNA (239 nucleotides) under uncultured bacterium. RNAcentral's name for it is "partial 16S ribosomal RNA". It matches the Rfam family "Bacterial small subunit ribosomal RNA", at positions 115 to 353 of the family's 1533-position model. The record is from RNAcentral.